This 425-nucleotide ribosomal RNA is filed under the name uncultured bacterium. RNAcentral describes it as "partial 16S ribosomal RNA". It matches the Rfam family "Bacterial small subunit ribosomal RNA", at positions 354 to 796 of the family's 1533-position model. The record is from RNAcentral.
GUGGGGAAUCUUAGACAAUGGGGGCAACCCUGAUCUAGCCAUGCCGCGUGAGUGAUGAAGGCCUUAGGGUUGUAAAGCUCUUUCAGUGGGGAAGAUAAUGACGGUACCCACAGAAGAAGCCCCGGCUAACUCCGUGCCAGCAGCCGCGGUAAUACGGAGGGGGCUAGCGUUGUUCGGAAUUACUGGGCGUAAAGCGCACGUAGGCGGAUCGGAAAGUUGGGGGUGAAAUCCGAGGGCUCAACCCUGGAGCUGCCUUCAAAACUAUCGGUCUGGAGUCCGAGAGAGGUGAGUGAAAUUCCGAGUGUAGAGGUGAAAUUCGUAGAUAUUCGGAGGAACACCAGUGGCGAAGGCGGCUCACUGGCUCGGUACUGACGCUGAGGUGCGAAAGCGUGGGGAGCAAACAGGAUUAGAAACCCGAGUAGUCC